CCUACGGGUGGCAGCAGUCGAGAAUCAUUCACAAUGGGGGAAACCCUGAUGGUGCGACGCCGCGUGGGGGAAUGAAGGUCUUCGGAUUGUAAACCCCUGUCAUGUGGGAGCAAAUUAAAAAGAUAGUACCACAAGAGGAAGAGACGGCUAACUCUGUGCCAGCAGCCGCGGCAAUACAGAGGUCUCAAGCGUUGUUCGGAAUCACUGGGCGUAAGGCGUGCGUAGGCUGUUUCGUAAGUCGUGUGUGAAAGGCGCGGGCUCAACCCGCGGACGGCACAAGAUACUGCGAGACUAGAGUAAUGGAGGGGGAACCGGAAUUCUCGGUGUAGCAGUGAAAUGCGUAGAUAUCGAGAGGAACACUCGUGGCGAAGGCGGGUUCCUGGACAUUAACUGACGCUGAGGCACGAAGGCCAGGGGAGCGAAAGGGAUUAGAUACCCCAGUAGUC
This 446-nucleotide ribosomal RNA is filed under the name uncultured bacterium. RNAcentral's name for it is "partial 16S ribosomal RNA". It matches the Rfam family "Bacterial small subunit ribosomal RNA", at positions 338 to 795 of the family's 1533-position model. The record is from RNAcentral.